RNAcentral lists this ribosomal RNA (372 nucleotides) under uncultured organism. Its description in RNAcentral is "bacterial SSU rRNA". It matches the Rfam family "Bacterial small subunit ribosomal RNA", at positions 526 to 896 of the family's 1533-position model. The record is from RNAcentral.
CGAAGGGUGCAAGCGUUACUCGGAAUUACUGGGCGUAAAGCGUGCGUAGGUGGUGAGUUAAGUCUGUCGUGAAAGCCCCGGGCUCAACCUGGGAAUGGCGAUGGAUACUGGCUCGCUAGAGUGCGGUAGAGGAGAGUGGAAUUCCCGGUGUAGCAGUGAAAUGCGUAGAGAUCGGGAGGAACAUCAGUUGCGAAGGCGGCUCUCUGGACCAGCACUGACACUGAGGCACGAAAGCGUGGGAGCAAACAGGAUUAGAUACCCUGGUAGUCCACGCCCUAAACGAUGCGAACUGGACGUUGGGAGCAAUCAGGCUCUCAGUGUCGAAGCUAACGCGUUAAGUUCGCCGCCUGGGGAGGUACGGUCGCAAGACUG